This is a non-coding RNA of Macaca mulatta (Rhesus monkey), 2192 nucleotides long. The record is from RefSeq and is a predicted model, not a curated record. NCBI's taxonomy places the organism in Eukaryota, Metazoa, Chordata, Mammalia, Primates, Cercopithecidae.
GGUUUUUGGGGAACAGGUGGUAUUUGGUUGUACAGGAGGCCAGCAAUGCAACCCUGCCACGACCAACCAGGUUCUUCCUUCUGGGAAGUGGAAUUUUGAACAGAAGGCCAGCAGACUGGAAAUGGCCCCACUUGAACUCUUCCUGCCACACGAAGUCCUUCCUGAGCACCCCAGGUCACAGUGAUCAACCCAUCAGGUAAGCAUGGAUAGAUUUUAACAUCUGAUCCAUUCCUUUAGCAUGUCUCGGUCAGUCAUUAAAAUACUUACUGACCAUGAACUAUGAAUCUCACUCUGUGCUACCACAUAAUUUUUAAAAAGUGUGUUAUCUCUCUCGCUCUCUCUUUUUAGGAGAACAGCUUAGUUUUAUUAGUAGACAAUUGUUUUCUUCAAAGUCAGUGCUGACACAAACAUAAAUGUUUCUCACUUGGUGCCUGACAUGUGCAGAAAACACAUUUUUUUCUUACUGAUUGACAAAAGUUGUCUCUCCCAUCAAAGAUGUUUAAGGAGAAUAUCACUACAAUAACAGGACUACUUGGUACUAACUAAAUUAAUAAAAAUGCAAUAACUAAGAACAUAAAAUAUAGUUCUAAAGAACUCUUCAUCACAUUCUAACUUGCUUGCCUAGAUAGUUUUAAUAGCAAAACCAUCGGUUAAUGUGCUACUUUCCAGAAGUUGAGUGUGGAAUCUCAUCUUUUAGUAGAUAGCAUUGCCAUUUUCCUGAAUUAAUUUGAAAGAUUCUCAAGACUUCAACCAUCUUAUCCCUAAGAGCUGUCAUUAGCAUCAUUCAAGCACACUGUCACCUAGUUCACUUGAAAAUGUAAGAGCCAGGCAGUGCAAUAGAUUUAUUUAACUCUCAACUCCACAUCCUGUUUUAAAUAUAAUUGGGAGUGGGAGGUAGGGGAAGAAUUAAUGUAAGCUUCUGUAUUUAACAACAACAACAAAAACCUCAAAUAACUACCAAGCAACCAUUCAUAGAAUCAUUGGGAUCCUGGCUGUUAUUCUAUCUAUGGGGCAGUCAUGGAUAUAAAGCAAUGAGGAAUACUGGGUAAGAAUAUCUUGAAGAGUGGAAGAGAGAAUAAAGAAAAGAAAGCACCUACCUUCUUUUCCAGUCUAUCAAUUAAUUUCUGGAGUCUAUUUAUCUGGAUCAUCCACUGGUUGUCUUCUUCUAAUAAGCCUGGGGCCAGGGAGAAUCAUGAGGGCAAUAUGUUAAACUUUAGACAGAGAAGAAAUACUUGGUUAUAUCAGAGCUUUCCUUCAACCCUGAAGGAAGGAUGCAGUGUCACUGACAGGUCAUUUUUUUAAUGUAUUCAUGAGUGCUUUCUAAGGUAUUGAUUUCCAUAGAUCCAUGCAUCCCAGGGGUUCACUUCCACAGGUCUGUUUUUUAUGUAAUUGCCUAUCUGGCCUUUGAUAUUCAAAGAAAAGAUCCUGCUGAGCCAUUUACAAAACCCCAUGAUGUAGUUGGUUUUCUUUUGCAAAAAAGAAGCAUCAAUCAACAAUUCUAAACUUACUUGUAGGGCAGUGGCAAGAGCCAGUGAAAUCAUAUCCCUGACCAUAGCAAGGUGUAAAUUGCUACGAUCAAAAAGAAGCAUAAAGGCAAGAUAGCUGGUGUCUCCUUUCCCAGGAACUAACUUGAGUAUACAUACAUGGGCUCUAUAAUCAUGGCAUAGUGGUUAAGAGUGCAGACUGGAGCCUGUUGAUCUAUAUUCAUAUAUAUGAUAUAAACAUACAUAUGUAUUUAUAGGUAUGUAGUGUGUGUGUGGGUGUAUCUAGUACCAAGUUAAACAUUAUAGAAGUUCUGCUACUAUUAUUGUUUUUAUCAACAUUAUUAUGCAAAGGGAAGAGUUAUGAUCUGAGCCCGUGCACAAACAUCCUGGCAUAUUUGUGUAUACUGAUUGUAGCUUAAUAAAAAUGUUUUCAUAGGCAUUUGCUGAAGUAGUAUUGUUUAAUAUUUCUUGAAAUAAGAAUGUGAUUGAAUUCAAGACUAUAAAGCCUUGUGUUAGCUUUGAAUACAAUAAAGACAAGAACUAAAUUAUAAAGGGAGAGUGAUGUCAUCAGAAUUUACUUCUCCACCUGCCUUCUUGGAGGCAGCACCUUUCAAAACCCACCAAAUUAUGAUGUAAAAAUGUGCAUUGGUGUUGCCACAAAGAAGUGGCUACAAAAAAAAAAAAUAGAAGAGAGAGAGAGAAAAAAGA